Molecule: ribosomal RNA, 403 nt
Filed under: Verrucomicrobiota bacterium
Lineage: Bacteria; Pseudomonadati; Verrucomicrobiota
Description: Verrucomicrobia bacterium partial 16S ribosomal RNA
Rfam family: Bacterial small subunit ribosomal RNA
Source: RNAcentral
UGGGGAAUAUUGCACAAUGGGGGAAACCCUGAUGCAGCGACGCCGCGUGAGCGAAGAAGGCUUUCGAGUCGUAAAGCUCUGUCCUAUGAGAAGAUAAUGACGGUAUCAUAGGAGGAAGCCCUGGCUAAAUACGUGCCAGCAGCCGCGGUAAUACGUAUGGGGCGAGCGUUGUCCGGAAUUAUUGGGCGUAAAGGGUACGUAGGUGGUUUUUUAAGUCAGGCGUCAAAGCGUGGAGCUUAACUCCAUUAAGCACUUGAAACUGAAAGACUUGAGUGAAGGAGAGGAAAGUGGAAUUCCUAGUGUAGCGGUGAAAUGCGUAGAUAUUAGGAGGAAUACCGGUGGCGAAGGCGACUUUCUGGACUUUUACUGACGCUCAGGUACGAAAGCGUGGGGAGCAAACAGG